AACGUAGGGGACAAGCGUUAUCCGGAUUUACUGGGCGUAAAGUGCGUUGAGGCGGUUUCGUAAGUUGGACGUGAAAGCCCCGGGCUCAACUCGGGGAGGUCGUUCAAUACUGCGAGACUUGAGGACAGCAGAGGGAGGUGGAAUUCCCGGUGUAGCGGUGAAAUGCGUAGAGAUCGGGAGGAACACCAGUGGCGAAGGCGGCCUCCUGGGCUGUUCCUGACGCUGAAGGCGAAAGCUAGGGUAGCAAACGGGAUUAGAUACCCCGGUA
This 268-nucleotide ribosomal RNA is filed under the name uncultured prokaryote. Its description in RNAcentral is "partial 16S ribosomal RNA". It matches the Rfam family "Bacterial small subunit ribosomal RNA", at positions 524 to 792 of the family's 1533-position model. The record is from RNAcentral.